GGCUGGUCCAAGUACAGUGGUGUUUACUACUAAUUGAUCACAACCAGUUUCAGAUUUAUUUGUUCCUUCUGUACUCUCACUGCUUCACUUGACUAGCCUUUA
RNAcentral lists this Y RNA (102 nucleotides) under Carlito syrichta (Philippine tarsier). RNAcentral's name for it is "Y RNA (ENSTSYG00000030405.1)". It matches the Rfam family "Y RNA". From Rfam's summary of the family: Y RNAs are components of the Ro ribonucleoprotein particle (Ro RNP), in association with Ro60 and La proteins. The record is from Rfam by way of RNAcentral. Lineage: Eukaryota; Metazoa; Chordata; Mammalia; Primates; Tarsiidae.